Molecule: ribosomal RNA, 210 nt
Filed under: Triticum aestivum (bread wheat)
Lineage: Eukaryota; Viridiplantae; Streptophyta; Magnoliopsida; Poales; Poaceae
Description: partial small subunit ribosomal RNA
Source: RNAcentral
AUGGACGCGGUCGACUCCGUGGUGGACCCCCUCCGCGAGUUCGCCAAGGACAGCGUCCGCCUCGUCAAGCGCUGCCACAAGCCUGACCGCAAGGAGUUCACCAAGGUGGCGGCGCGGACGGCGAUCGGGUUCGUCGUCAUGGGGUUCGUCGGCUUCUUCGUCAAGCUCAUCUUCAUCCCCAUCAACAACAUCAUCGUCAGCUCCGGCUAG